CUAUAGUGCCAAACAUUUUUUACCUCUUUUUGCUUAGCCUUAAGAGCUCGUAGUUUUCCGCUAAAAACUUAAUUGUCACAUCAGGACAGUAAAUGCAGUUCAACCUGACCAAGAUAAUCAUGGAAACUUUGUGUCUUCCUUAAUUUCUGCUCUCUCCUGUCCACCCCACCAACACACUAAGCUCCUGUAAAGACUAAAGUUAGAAGAGACCGUUGGUAAAGAUGUAUUUCGUCAGUGAUAUGAAGGUGAUGUAGCUGUUCUCAUGAUAACCAUAAUGCCAUGUUUGCUGCAUUCCAUAGGUGAAAGUUUUUUUUUAAUGCAGCAGGUGUGUUCUGUAAGAUAUUUGGACUGCUAUUAGGUUGGACUGCUAUUAGGUUGUGUAAAAAUGAAAAAAAAAAACAUUUUUCCUAUAUACCGAGAUUCUCAAUUUUUAUUCUUAAUAUAGUAAUGUAGGGAAAAUUGGGAUACCUAAGCAGAUAUUAAAUGAUUCCCACCAGGUGUGUAAAUUGGGACAGUUCCAAAUCCUUGUUUGUAUUGUAAUACAUAUUUUUUUUAUCAAUACAGGUACUAACACAAACUAAAAUUUUACGCCUGAUCAUUAGGUUUAAAUUUUUCGUAAUUUAUCUUCUGUUGCCAGUGACUGAGUUUCUAAUGUGUUCCCAUAUAUUACUUUGUUAAUAUAGUAGUACACCAUAUUUGAAUUACCCAGGAUGUAGAACGUGUUAAAUUACAAACAUUUAAAAUUUUGACAAUAAAUAUCGGCAAAACUACAAUGUGUGGGCCACAAGCUAAACUUUUUAACGUAUAUAUAUAUUCUUUUUCGGCUUGUGUGUACAAAUUUAACUGUGGUGUGUGUGUACCACAUAAACUUAAUAUAGGCAUAUUCAUUUGUUUACAAACCAAUACUAAUUUCUUUAGACACAAUCAUACUUUACAAUAUAUUUCGGCCUAUUUUUAUUAAGUUGCAAUACUGGAUAAUUUAAACUUGCAUACUAUAAAGUUAGCACCUUACUGUUACACUUUUAAUAAAUCAAAAUAUAUAUUCAUGUACUUUAGAAAAAAAAAAACUGUCUAAUUAGCAUGUAAUUAAGAUUACCUUGUUUGUUCAUAGGCAUGUACGAGUGUUGGAACAGCACUUUUUUUAUUGGUUACAAUUGAAACAUAGUUCAUAAUUAACACCAUGUGAUUUUUUAACAUUGCAUAUUUGCCCCAGGACGAUAUUGUUAACAGGUGUUCACAAGUUCUUUAUUAUAAAAUUAUUUUAUAAUGAAAUACGAUUGGAGCUAUGCAUUGGAGUUAUGCUCUCCUGUACCACCAUGUCACCAUACUAUUAAACAAGCGAAUGUGUAUGUCGUAUUUUAUUAUACACAAACUCAAUCCAACACACGAUUGUUUUUGUAGAA
Ciona intestinalis (vase tunicate) is the source of this 1403-nucleotide non-coding RNA. NCBI's taxonomy places the organism in Eukaryota, Metazoa, Chordata, Ascidiacea, Phlebobranchia, Cionidae. The record is from RefSeq and is a predicted model, not a curated record.